UACGUAGGGGGCGAGCGUUUUCCGGAAUCAUUGGGCGUAAAGAGCUCGUAGGCGGCUCAGUAAGUCGGCUGUGAAAGCCCGGGGCUCAACCCCGGAACUGCAGUCGAUACUGCUGUGGCUAGAGUCCGGUAGAGGAGGGUGGAAUUCCCGGUGUAGCGGUGGAAUACGCAGCUAUCGGGAGGAACACCAGUAGCGAAGGCGGCCCUCUGGGCCGGUACUGACGCUGAGGAGCGAAAGCGUGGGGAGCAAACAGG
This 254-nucleotide ribosomal RNA is filed under the name uncultured bacterium. RNAcentral describes it as "partial 16S ribosomal RNA". It matches the Rfam family "Bacterial small subunit ribosomal RNA", at positions 524 to 776 of the family's 1533-position model. The record is from RNAcentral.